UAGGGAAUCUUCGGCAAUGGACGGAAGUCUGACCGAGCAACGCCGCGUGAGUGAAGAAGGUUUUCGGAUCGUAAAGCUCUGUUGUUAGAGAAGAACGUUGGUAGGAGUGGAAAAUCUACCAAGUGACGGUAACUAACCAGAAAGGGACGGCUAACUACGUGCCAGCAGCCGCGGUAAUACGUAGGUCCCGAGCGUUGUCCGGAUUUAUUGGGCGUAAAGCGAGCGCAGGCGGUUCUUUAAGUCUGAAGUUAAAGGCAGUGGCUUAACCAGUAUGCGCUUUGGAAACUUGAGGACUUGAGUGCAGAAGGGGAGAGUGGAAUUCCAUGUGUAGCGGUGAAAUGCGUAGAUAUAUGGAGGAACACCGGUGGCGAAAGCGGGUCUCUGGUCUGUGACUGACGCUGAGGCUCGAAAGCGUGGGGAGCAAACAGG
Molecule: ribosomal RNA, 429 nt
Filed under: Bacillota bacterium
Lineage: Bacteria; Bacillati; Bacillota
Description: Firmicutes bacterium partial 16S ribosomal RNA
Rfam family: Bacterial small subunit ribosomal RNA
Source: RNAcentral